CAACACUGUUCAUCCGCUUUGCGCAUGAAUGUUCCGUCAAGAAGUUUUCGAAGUUGGAAGUUUCACAACGCCAGUCCGCCAUCUUUCGCAGCGCAGUAAAUAUAUUUCUUCGAAAUGAUUUUUCGCGGGUUUACUGCAUUAUUAAAAAAAUCUGGAAUCCCCGACGAAAAUGAAAUAUUCGGAAUCAUCGAUAUGGGAGUUCUUUUGUGCAAACAUUUGAACGGAAGGUUUCCCAAAUUGGGCCAAAUAGGAAGAAGCAAACAUGUCCAGGCCGUCCUGUUCCUGUAUUUAACCGAUGCCCAGCCUUGCGGCACCCAAUUGCGGUGCUGCAAAGAUGAGAUGAGGCCGGAUUCCACCCCGUUGCAAUCUGGAGAAAAUGGUUUAUCCUCGGGUGGCUUUGUUCUCGUUCGUCCGGAAAAUUUCAUUCCUUCCGUAAUCCCGUUGUGCAUGCAUUCGUCUAGAAAAUUAGAAAACACCCAGCACGAUUUGUUGGACUCGGGACAGUAUCACAAGGAUGGCACCGGUCGUACGAUUGGUGGCACAAUCUUCACAUCUGCGGGAUGGAGGAAUAUCGGCUGGUGACUAUUUUACCAUUCAUCUAGUCCAGCACUAGAUUGCAGUAAGGUACGGGCCUUUUGAUCCACUGCUUCGUUUUCCCUGUGUAUAAAAAGCCCCAUGUUUCGCGUGCGCACGUCAUUUUCAUUCUGGAUGUCACGGAAAACGGACCAGCGCAGUUCCAAGGAUAACGCCUGUGUUUGGUCUGUUGUGGUAAAAACUUAUGGACGAUUCAAAUCAAGCCAAAUUCAGCACCUAAAAACUCAUGGAUGAAUUGAUUCAUCGUAUGUUUUCUGUAUGUAUGUAGAAUCACGAGCGCGCGUCAAACGGUGUAACGAACGCGAAUCAAUCAAUUUGCAUUUCAAACUCAAGUUGUCAUUUUCGUUAAGCUAUACAGCGCACCGCAUGGCAUAUUGUUAGUUGCAAUAUGCGCAUAGUUGAUAAUUCUCUGCUACCCGAGACAAUUAUGUCAUAAACUAAUCUUCUACGAAGGACCAAGAAAGAGACCCAUAAAUUGUAACAAAAAUAGUGACGCACCGAUAGUGGCGGCGAUAACAAAGUAGAGAUAAUAAGAAAGGACCCAAAAGAUAAUGAGUCAAAAUCAGGUAGAAUAUAUUGUACAUUCAUUUAUAUAUACGGCUUAGCAUUAGUA
Armigeres subalbatus is the source of this 1207-nucleotide RNA transcript. RefSeq lists it as uncharacterized. The record is from RefSeq and is a predicted model, not a curated record. NCBI's taxonomy places the organism in Eukaryota, Metazoa, Arthropoda, Insecta, Diptera, Culicidae. The transcript is spliced from 4 exons.